CGCAAAGAUCCAAAGCACUUCCUUCCAAAUCCACGAGAUUUCACAAUGCCGUACUACACCAGGGACGAUGAAGCCGUCGACGACUUCGACGAGUACGAUCCGACGCCUUACGGCGGCGGCUUCGACCUCUUUCUGACAUAUGGCCGUCCAAUUCCACCCUCCGAAGAAACCUGCUACCCACACUCCGCUGGCAACGACGACGACAUCGAUUACGAGCGUCCCCAGUUCGAAUCCUACGCCGAGCCCUCCGCUUACGGCGAUGACGCCCUCCAGGCCGAGUACAGCAGCUACUCCCGCCCAAAGCCUCACUCCUAUGGCGCUCCGCCUCCCUCUGUGGAACAAGAGUACGGAUCUGGUGGCUAUGAAUCUGCCAGGCCCCAGCCGGCUUAUGGCUUCCAGCCAAGUGGAUCGGAGUACGGAUCUGAAGGAUAUCGCCGCAAACCGGAAUACGAGGAACAGGAGUACGGAUCCGGUGGGUAUAGGAGGAAACAGGAAUCUGAGUCUUAUGGAUCUGAAGAGUACGGAUCUGGUGGGUAUGGGCAGAGACAGGAAUCGGAUUCUUACGGAUCUGGAGUGUAUGGACGAAGACAGGAAUCGGAUUCUUAUGGAUCUGGUGGGUACGGGCGGAGACAAGAAGAGGGGGACUCAGAGGGGUACCGGCGCCAAUCGGAGUCUGAAGAGUACGGAUCAGGGCGGAAACAGAGGUAUGGGGAAGAAGAGUAUGAGAGUUCUGGGUAUAGAAGGGAGGAAUAUGAGAGGCCGAGUUAUGGGGACGAGGAGCCGAGGAGGCCGAGCUAUGGGCGGUCGGAGGAAGAGGAUUACCGGAAGCCGAGCUAUGAGAGGCGCGAUGAAGAUGAGGAGCGUCGGUAUGGGUAUGGGGAAGAAGGAUAUGGGCGGAAGAAAUACGGUGGUGGUGGCGGCGGCCCUGCUUUUCCUCCUCGUCGGAAUCCCCACCGUAUUU
RNAcentral lists this unclassified non-coding RNA (961 nucleotides) under Hevea brasiliensis (rubber tree). Lineage: Eukaryota; Viridiplantae; Streptophyta; Magnoliopsida; Malpighiales; Euphorbiaceae. The record is from RNAcentral.